UACACUUGGCAGUGUCUCCCCACAUGGCACU
Molecule: non-coding RNA, 31 nt
Filed under: Mus musculus (house mouse)
Lineage: Eukaryota; Metazoa; Chordata; Mammalia; Rodentia; Muridae
Source: RNAcentral